This 503-nucleotide ribosomal RNA is filed under the name uncultured bacterium. Its description in RNAcentral is "partial 16S ribosomal RNA". It matches the Rfam family "Bacterial small subunit ribosomal RNA", at positions 30 to 523 of the family's 1533-position model. The record is from RNAcentral.
AUUGAACGCUGGCAGCAGGCUUAACACAUGCAAGUCGAGCGGGGUGAUGGUGCUUGCACUAUCACUUAGCGGCGGACGGGUGAGUAAUGCUUAGGAAUCUGCCUAUUAGUGGGGGACAACAUCUCGAAAGGGAUGCUAAUACCGCAUACGUCCUACGGGAGAAAGCAGGGGAUCACUUGUGACCUUGCGCUAAUAGAUGAGCCUAAGUCGGAUUAGCUAGUUGGUGGGGUAAAGGCCUACCAAGGCGACGAUCUGUAGCGGGUCUGAGAGGAUGAUCCGCCACACUGGGGCUGAGACACGGCCCAGACCCCGUCGGGAGGCAGCAGUGGGGAAUAUUGGACAAUGGGGGGAACCCUGAUCCAGCCAUGCCGCGUGUGUGAAGAAGGCCUUAUGGUUGUAAAGCACUUUAAGCGAGGAGGAGGCUCUUUUGGUUAAUACCCAAGAUGAGUGGACGUUACUCGCAGAAUAAGCACCGGCUAACUCUGUGCCAGCCGCCGCCGUAA